UAAGAUCAUGCUUUUUAUGGUGAAUCUGCGAAUGGCUCAUUAAACCAGCCACAAUCUACUCGAUGCUUUCAGUUAAACGGAUAACUGCGCUAAUUGUGGAGCUAAUACGUGCUUUCGGCUCGCGGCUUUCGUCGUGACGCACUUGUUAGAACAAGGCCAAUCGGGUUUCCCGUUCUGGUGACUCUGAACAAUUUCGCUGAUCGCAUGGUCUAGUACCGGCGACAGAUCGAUCGAGUGUCUGCCUUAUCAACUUUCGAUGGAAGUCUAUAUGACUACCAUGGUAGUGACGGGUAACGGAGAAUAAGGGUUCGACUCCGGAGAGGGAGCCUGAGAAACGGCUACCACAUCCAAGGAAGGCAGCAGGCGCGUAAAUUACCCACUCUCAAUGCGAGGAGGUAGUAACUAUCAAUAACGAGACAGAUCUCUUUGAGGCCUGUUAUCGGAAUGGAAGCAAUGUAAACGCUUCAUUGAGGAUCUAUGAGAGGGCAAGUCUGGUGCCAGCAGCCGCGGUAAUUCCAGCUCUCAAGGUGUAUAUCGUCAUUGCUGCGGUUAAAAAGCUCGUAGUUGGAUCUGAGUUUGAGGUCGUGGUGCACCUUGCGUGUAACUGCGUGCCCGAACUGUUUUGCUGGUUUUCCUUGGUUUCGGCCUUGGUGGCUGGCAGGUUUACCUUGAAUAAAUCAAAUUGCUUAAGAAAGACGGUAAGGUCUGAAUGCUUGUGCAUGGAAUAAUGGAACAGGACUUCGGUUCGUUGCGUUGGUCUCAGAGCCGGUGUAAUGGUUAAGAGGGACAAACGGGGGCAUCUCGUAUCGCUACGUGAGAG
This 820-nucleotide ribosomal RNA is filed under the name Neodiplogaster sp. EI7. RNAcentral's name for it is "bacterial SSU rRNA". It matches the Rfam family "Eukaryotic small subunit ribosomal RNA", at positions 60 to 910 of the family's 1831-position model. Lineage: Eukaryota; Metazoa; Nematoda; Chromadorea; Rhabditida; Diplogasteridae. The record is from RNAcentral.